Molecule: small nucleolar RNA, 136 nt
Organism: Arvicanthis niloticus (Nile rat)
Lineage: Eukaryota; Metazoa; Chordata; Mammalia; Rodentia; Muridae
Product: small nucleolar RNA SNORA17
Source: RefSeq, a predicted model, not a curated record
GCUACCCCUAGAGGCAUUGCUGGUCUGGCUGUGGUGUCAUGUGUACAUUGGUGGCAGAGAGGAGAGAGGCUAUUUCUAAGCUCAGUAGCUCAGUAUUCUGACCUAUGAACAACUGGAUGACUAGUAUCCUAACAUU